UACGAAGGGGGCUAGCGUUGCUCGGAAUUACUGGGCGUAAAGGGCGCGUAGGCGGACAGUUUAGUCAGAGGUGAAAGCCCAGGGCUCAACCUUGGAAUUGCCUUUGAUACUGACUGUCUUGAGUAUGGGAGAGGUGUGUGGAACUCCGAGUGUAGAGGUGAAAUUCGUAGAUAUUCGGAAGAACACCAGUGGCGAAGGCGACACACUGGCCCAUUACUGACGCUGAGGCUCGAAAGCGUGGGGAGCAAACAGG
RNAcentral lists this ribosomal RNA (253 nucleotides) under uncultured bacterium. RNAcentral describes it as "partial 16S ribosomal RNA". It matches the Rfam family "Bacterial small subunit ribosomal RNA", at positions 524 to 776 of the family's 1533-position model. The record is from RNAcentral.